This 910-nucleotide ribosomal RNA is filed under the name uncultured bacterium. Its description in RNAcentral is "bacterial SSU rRNA". It matches the Rfam family "Bacterial small subunit ribosomal RNA", at positions 33 to 948 of the family's 1533-position model. The record is from RNAcentral.
ACGCUGGCGGCGUGCUUAACACAUGCAAGUCGAACGAUGAAGCCUAGCUUGCUAGGUGGAUUAGUGGCGAACGGGUGAGUAAUACGUGAGUAACUUACCUUUAACUCUGGGAUAAGCCUGGGAAACUGGGUCUAAUACCGGAUACGACCAAUCUCCGCAUGGGGUGUUGGUGGAAAGCGUUAUGUAGUGGUUAUAGAUGGGCUCACGGCCUAUCAGCUUGUUGGUGAGGUAACGGCUCACCAAGGCGACGACGGGUAGCCGGCCUGAGAGGGUGACCGGCCACACUGGGACUGAGACACGGCCCAGACUCCUACGGGAGGCAGCAGUGGGGAAUAUUGCACAAUGGGCGCAAGCCUGAUGCAGCGACGCCGCGUGAGGGAUGACGGCCUUCGGGUUGUAAACCUCUGUUAGCAGGGAAGAAGAGAGAUUGACGGUACCUGCAGAGAAAGCGCCGGCUAACUACGUGCCAGCAGCCGCGGUAAUACGUAGGGCGUGAGCGUUGUCCGGAAUUAUAGGGCGUAAAGAGCUUGUAGGCGGUUUGUCGCGUCUGCUGUGAAAGGCCGGGGCUUAACUCCGUGUAUUGCAGUGGGUACGGGCAGACUAGAGUGCGGUAGGGGAGACUGGAAUUCCUGGUGUAGCGGUGGAAUGCGCAGAUAUCAGGAGGAACACCGAUGGCGAAGGCAGGUCUCUGGGCUGUAACUGACGCUGAGAAGCGAAAGCAUGGGGAGCGAACAGGAUUAGAUACCCUGGUAGUCCAUGCCGUAAACGUUGGGCACUAGGUGUGGGGGACAUUCCACGUUUUCCGCGCCGUAGCUAACGCAUUAAGUGCCCCGCCUGGGGAGUACGGCCGCAAGGCUAAAACUCAAAGAAAUUGACGGGGGCCCGCACAAGCGGCGGAGCAUGCGGAUUA